GAUGAACGCUGGCGGCGUGCCUAAUACAUGCAAGUCGAGCGAACAGAUGAGGAGCUUGCUCCUCUGACGUUAGCGGCGGACGGGUGAGUAACACGUGGAUAACCUACCUAUAAGACUGGGAUAACUUCGGGAAACCGGAGCUAAUACCGGAUAAUAUAUUGAACCGCAUGGUUCAAUAGUGAAAGACGGUUUUGCUGUCACUUAUAGAUGGAUCCGCGCCGCAUUAGCUAGUUGGUAAGGUAACGGCUUACCAAGGCAACGAUGCGUAGCCGACCUGAGAGGGUGAUCGGCCACACUGGAGCUGAGACACGGUCCAGACUCCUACGGGAGGCAGCAGUAGGAAUCUUCCGCAAUGGGCGAAAGCCUGACGGAGCAACGCCGCGUGAGUGAUGAAGGUCUUCGGAUCGUAAAACUCUGUUAUUAGGGAAGAACAAAUGUGUAAGUAACUAUGCACGUCUUGACGGUACCUAAUCAGAAAGCCACGGCUAACUACGUG
This 496-nucleotide ribosomal RNA is filed under the name uncultured bacterium. RNAcentral describes it as "partial 16S ribosomal RNA". It matches the Rfam family "Bacterial small subunit ribosomal RNA", at positions 28 to 507 of the family's 1533-position model. The record is from RNAcentral.